GAUGAACGCUGGCGGCGUGCCUAAUACAUGCAAGUCGAGCGAACGGACGAGAAGCUUGCUUCUCUGAUGUUAGCGGCGGACGGGUGAGUAACACGUGGAUAACCUACCUAUAAGACUGGGAUAACUUCGGGAAACCGGAGCUAAUACCGGAUAAUAUUUUGAACCGCAUGGUUCAAAAGUGAAAGACGGUCUUGCUGUCACUUAUAGAUGGAUCCGCGCUGCAUUAGCUAGUUGGUAAGGUAACGGCUACCAAGGCAACGAUGCAUAGCCGACCUGAGAGGGUGAUCGGCCACACUGGAGCUGAGACACGGUCCAGACUCCUACGGGAGGCAGCAGUAGGGAAUCUUCCGCAAUGGGCGAAAGCCUGACGGAGCAACGCCGCGUGAGUGAUGAAGGUCUUCGGAUCGUAAAACUCUGUUAUUAGGGAAGAACAUAUGUGUAAGUAACUGUGCACAUCUUGACGGUACCUAAUCAGAAAGCCACGGCUAACUACGUG
This 496-nucleotide ribosomal RNA is filed under the name uncultured bacterium. RNAcentral's name for it is "partial 16S ribosomal RNA". It matches the Rfam family "Bacterial small subunit ribosomal RNA", at positions 28 to 507 of the family's 1533-position model. The record is from RNAcentral.